Molecule: long non-coding RNA, 2267 nt
Filed under: Schizosaccharomyces pombe (fission yeast)
Lineage: Eukaryota; Fungi; Ascomycota; Schizosaccharomycetes; Schizosaccharomycetales; Schizosaccharomycetaceae
Source: RNAcentral
UGAAAGACACGAUUAGAUCAUUUAUUUGUUUAGGAUAAUGUUUCAUUUUCAAACAUGAAACGAUUAAUCCUCUUCAUUUUGUAGCUGUUCAACUGGCGAAGGCUGUGUAUUCCCUUCUUCUACUGGUGGUGCAGGGGAAUUUGCUUGCGACUCGGAAGCCGACAUAUUCUGAGCUUGUGUUUCAGGCUUAACUCCAUUAGUUUGUUCAGCAGAUUCUAGUUGUUCACGAGAUUCCGCAGGUUUCUCUUCUUCAGAGAGUUCCUCAUUGAGGCUGCCCUCGACACUUCUUAGUUUCUCCUCCUCUUCUUCUAAAUCUUUUAUGUUUCCUAAACCAAAUGUAUCAUAUCGGGCACGCUUCAGCUGCAACGAUUCCUCGUCAUUCAAAUCACGAAGGCUCAACUCAAUACCAUCAACAGCAUCAAGACUGACUGGAGCACGAACAUGACGGCGCUUUAGGGUAGAACGAGCAUAAAUAGGUGUGUAUAAAACUUGGUUAGCUUCAGGAUGAUCUUUAUCUGUGUGAAACGUCAAACAAAGAUCUUCAAGCCCUGUGCUAUUGACAUGCAUAGAAGCAUCAAAAUUACGAAAGUGAUUAUAAACAAAUGGUUCAUGAACAUCGGCAGAAGCAUCAUUAACUUUAGCUUGUAUCUCUUCCGCUGUCUCUUCUGAAGGUAAGUAGUAGGAUAAGAAUUCCUCACCCUCUGCAGAAGAAGGCAUGAAUAGAGCGACUUCGUGACGUUUUGUGAGAUUGUGCCCCUCUUGAAGAUUAACCAAGGAACUAUAAGAAUGCGACCGUUCUGACAAAUCGUCAGCAACGCGCAACAUUAAAUGUUGAAUUCCUGCCAUUGAAGUAUUUGGCAACAAGUUCCAGGCUGAUACGGGUUUUAAAUCAGGCUUGGUAGGAUGCUUCAAUUGUUCUAACGGUUGUUGCACAACGUCGAAACUCUCAUUAAUAGCUUCAAGUUGUUUGGGAACCUCGCGAAGCGAACGGCCACGUUGUUCAGCCAAUGCUUUACUAGUAGAUGCUGUAAGUCGUAAAUUUCCCCGAUUGGAAGCAGCACGUGCCACUUCUGAAGAUAUGUACUCGGUGCGUCGCAAGAAAGGUACCUCAAGGUGCGUGGAUCCAGAGCCUCCUGCAACUUUUAAUAAUGAACGGUCAAUAGGAUCCAAAUUAACACUUGAUAGAUCCGAAUGCAUCCAGCUGGUAUCUCCUUCAAAAAAUCCAGUUAUUCCGGCCAAAUCAAGCGGCAUUCCCAAUUCAAUAUCAUUUUCAAUGGGAAUCUUUUUUUCUUGAACUAAAGUUGAUACAAAAUUUGGUAAGGCAUACUGCUUUACUGGAUUAGGUAUAUUGAUCAAUUUUGGAGGAAACGGCGGAGGAGGAAGAGGGUUAUGGUAUCUAACCCUCAAAAUAUAAUCUUGCCUCCUAUUUUCCUGCUUGAUUAGUCUGUUUUUCAAGUCUAGUUCUUACCAUUGAUGUGUUUUCCACAAAUACCCAAGGAGAUCACGUUCCCAUAUAACUUCCUAGCAUCACCCUAAAUUGGAAACGAGCGUCUAAUCUUCGCACCGGUAUGAAGUACGUUAUAAAUUGCUCAUUUUCGUUAAUUAAUUAAAAGAAAUCCAUAGUACUGAUGUUAGAAAUGAUAACGUGUAAGAUCGCAAUUCCCUAAAGCCGAGGAUUCACUAAUAGACGAUUAAUCAUUUUUAUUGUACGAAUUCUAAAAUCCCAGUAUUUAUGCAUGCAUCAUUAUGGAUGUUAAGGAUUUUGCGUCGAUUGUAUCACCUAUUGAAAUCGCCUUUUCUUUUAGCAUUAUACGAUGUUCACUCACUGUAGUCCAAUUUCAUUAUAUCAUUGUAACAAGUAAAUUCGAUGAUUUUUUGGUAAGCAAAUUUUCAACUAUUUUGUAUGUUGAUUACUACAGAUAAAAUAACCCAACUAAAUAAAAAGCAAUCCAAAAUUGAUUAAUGAAUGCUUGCCUAAUCUAGUUUAUUAAAGAAAUUUCAUCGUUCUUGCUAUACAGUCAAUUUUGUUGAGAUCUAAGAGACCAUGAGCAAAAAUUAAAUUAAAAAUUUGUAAAAAAAGAAUACUAGCUAAAAUCAUUGAAUAAAAGUGCUAAUAAACACAACCAAAUUCUUCUCAAUUUUUACUUAAUUUAUAAAGACAGAUAAAUGUAGCAAUGUAGAAGUUCAUGGUCCAAGUUCUGAAUUGUUUACGCAUAUCUUUAUUUAAUAGGUGAAUGGACUGUUAGUUAAUAAAGCCAUAAACUGCU